This is a long non-coding RNA of Plodia interpunctella (Indianmeal moth), 2077 nucleotides long. RefSeq lists it as uncharacterized. The record is from RefSeq and is a predicted model, not a curated record. The transcript is spliced from 4 exons. Lineage: Eukaryota; Metazoa; Arthropoda; Insecta; Lepidoptera; Pyralidae.
GCUUGUUCAAUUUAUAAAUACAUAUUUUUUAAUUGCAAGGUAUAUAAAUGAAAUAAAUAAUCAGUAGUAGAAUAUUCCUUUAUAAAGCUAUGAGAUGUGUGCUUCAUAAUACGUUAAUAGUCGCAAUGUUCUUAAAAGGCUUAGUUCUGCUGCUCACGUUGCAAGUGAUUGACUCAAGAAGACCACCAUUGUCACAAACAUUGGGCUAUGGAAAUUUGCCGCAUCAAAUUUUUAAAUGGGAUCGGACUGAGCCAUAUCCAUCAGGUCCACAAUAUGUCUACCCACCCUUUUUAGGGUACCGUCUGCAUGAUUCUAAUAAUCCACUAAGAAUACGCUCUGUAUAUCAUCGACAUCCCGCGAAAUUUGGCCCUAAACCUAACAAACCAAACAAAGAUGGUAGACACAAGCAUAAACUGAGUAGAUUUUAUGAACAUCGUUCUUGUAUUCAUUAAAAUGUAUUAAAACAAACUAAAGUCCACUACAUAUUAGCGCUAAGUGAUCACUUAAUCAAUAGAAACACUGCUUGAUGAAAAAUGUUCAAAUAUGAGAAGAUUAAUGAAAUUAUACAUAUGUCAGUAACAAGGAGAACAGAAAAACGAAGAGCAACGACAAACACGGGAACAUCGUUAAAUAAAAUCUUUUAAAUUAUAGAUUUGUUAAAUUAUAUGCUACCUGCUUAUAUCUCACAUUGAUUAUGAAACGUGACUAUGUUUCAGUGGGACCGACAUUUUCAAUAAAACGGAAUAUACACGCAUCAUAUUACGUACAUUCUUCUUCAUAGUCGUAUUCCUCAUGGCUGAGGGUCGUGGUCAUUACGUGGAAUGAAACACACACAACAACUUUCUUGCCAUUAUUAAUGGAGUGGUUUGCCAUUGCCUUCUCCAUUUCACACACAAGUUAAUAAUAGUCAACCAGUGUGCAGGUUUCCACACGAUGUUUUCCUUCACCGGAAGCAAGUGGCCGUCAGAUUGUGGAGUCAGAUUUAUAUACAAACUUAUGUGGCAUGAGUAGGAUUCGAACCUGGGACCUUUCGAUCCACAGGCGGGCGUUUAACCAUUACACCACCGCUUCACCGCUUCGUUACGUCUAUACACAUCUUUGAUUUGAACGUUCUGAGUUUAGUUUUUGAUUAUAAAACUUCAUUUUUCAAUUUUUUGUUUUUGUACUUUCAUUUCCAUUCUGAUAUUAACAAUUAUCUGUUAUAGGAUGUUUAAUUAAUAAAAUGGAAUCAUAGAAAAGAAAAAAAAAUAUCAGUAACUCGUAAAAUUUUUAUAACACUGCAAUUUCUUCUGCAUUGUAUUUGUUUAUUUUUUACUCUUCAUUAUACUAACUACUUGGAUCAUUUUCACAAGAUGCUCAAUUAGAUUCUUCCUUCCUCUUCAAUUGUUUUAAUCAAAGUUUAAAUUAAUUCGUAAGCAUUUUGAAUUAUACGGUAUAAAAACGAGAUAAGUACAGUUACUAAAUUAGACAUGCGUAAGGCCAACACAAGGCAGAGACUUCAUGGCAGUUGAUAGACGCUAUGUUUUUGACAGGUCUACUUAUUCUGCUGAUAUUUCCUGCUGUUAUCUCCCAGAGCCAGUCACAAACAGUAGAUGAAAUUAAGCUUAAGUUGCAAUCAGAGACCAAGCCUGAUUUAGGAUCCGAGAAUCCACCCAAUUUGGGAUAUUUGUAUCCACCCAAUUUAGGAUAUCACUUGUAUGAUUCUGUUGAAAAUUUACUAAGAUCAUCGAAAAUAGUACGUUUGAAAUUUGGACGUAAACCUAGUAAAGGUAACAAAUUGAGUAGACACAAAAAAUAUAGAUUGACUCACAACGAAAAUGUUAUUGAAGAAUACGGAUAUAAUGUAAAACUUUUAACAUCAAAGAAAAGUGUAUGUACCAUUGCAUAUUGAUACAAAACUUUAUUAUAAAAAUAGAAAUAAGACAUAAAGUACGUAGCAAAUCUGAAUGUUACUAUUGCAAAAGGCGUUUACAUAUGAGAUACAUUCGAUCGUAUUGAAUGUCAUUGGGCAAUCUUGAAAAUUGACCCUCGUCGUCGUCAAUGAAUAAAAUUAUUUACACAAAAUAUCGCACUUUGA